Molecule: ribosomal RNA, 422 nt
Filed under: uncultured cyanobacterium
Lineage: Bacteria; Bacillati; Cyanobacteriota
Description: bacterial SSU rRNA
Rfam family: Bacterial small subunit ribosomal RNA
Source: RNAcentral
GGAAUUUUCCGCAAUGGGCGAAAGCCUGACGGAGCAACGCCGCGUGAGGGAUGAAGGCCUCUGGGCUGUAAACCUCCUUUCUCAAGGAAGAAGAUCUGACGGUACUUGAGGAAUAAGCCACGGCUAAUUCCGUGCCAGCAGCCGCGGUAAUACGGGAGUGGCAAGCGUUAUCCGGAAUUAUUGGGCGUAAAGCGUCCGCAGGCGGCCCUUCAAGUCUGCUGUUAAAAAGUGGAGCUUAACUCCAUCGUGGCAGUGGAAACUGUUGGGCUAGAGUGUGGUAGGGGCAGAGGGAAUUCCCGGUGUAGCGGUGAAAUGCGUAGAUAUCGGGAAGAACACCAGUGGCGAAGGCGCUCUGCUGGGCCAUAACUGACGCUCAUGGACGAAAGCCAGGGGAGCGAAAGGGAUUAGAUACCCCUGUAGUC